Zeugodacus cucurbitae (melon fly) is the source of this 3778-nucleotide RNA transcript. It is a transcript of the gene named CKLF-like MARVEL transmembrane domain-containing protein 4, with no coding region annotated. The transcript is spliced from 4 exons. The record is from RefSeq and is a predicted model, not a curated record. Lineage: Eukaryota; Metazoa; Arthropoda; Insecta; Diptera; Tephritidae.
GUUAAAAAAGGAACUGUCCAAAUUCGUUUCUCCUCUUUAUAUUAAGAAUAACAGCGGUAUACGUUUGGAUUAAAUAAAAUUGUAAACUAGUUAGCUAAAUUAAAAUUAAUGUGCACAAAACUGGAGAAAACAUUGCGAAAAUGUGCAACACAAUCCGCUCAAUAAAUGUGAAUAUAAUUUAAUGUAAUGUUUACACCUCUACGUGCAUUAAUUAAAUUGCUAUUUGCUCAGUAUUUAACGGGAUAAAAUUAUAUGCUAACUUAGUCAGUAUUGCUAAAGUUUAAAGUUUCAUUUGCAGUGCGAAAACCAACGUGAAUAAAAAAAAUAUUUUAUUCGUUGAAUUAAUUUAUAAGUUUUAGAAUUUUUAAAUAAUGGAAUAAUGGAAUGGAAAAUAGCGAUAUAAUAAUAUAAAAAAUAUUAAAAUAAUAUCUAGAAUUGAAUUGAUAAGGACGUACAUCCCACGAUUCUUCUGCUAAGGCAGACACCUUGUCGCGGUGCAGGAGCUUAGACGUAACGUCAAUCGGAUUUUUUCAAUCCGUGGUCAAAUAGACGUUUGCGCACUAGACCAAGAGCUGCCACCUCCUAAUUCAGGUUAAUACGGUUGUAUAUUAACUGAGUCUUAUCAAUGGUGGGUCGACUUGAGAAGUAACCGUGGCCUUAUCGCGUCAUUGGGCUCUGAUUUGGCGGAUACUUAGUUUCCCUUAUGAAAUAAUAGACCAAGAUUCUCAAUAUUAUGAGCUAAUUGUGUACGAACAAGAUGAGUUACAACGAAAACAAAAAUACAGAAAAAAACAGCGAAACCAUGAGCAACAACAAUAACGACAACAACAACAACAGCGUUAUGCCUUCCACCAUUGGCGACACGAUAGACAGUUCAAUAACUGACAAAUCUGUAGAAGAUGUAAGCAUGCAAAAUGAUGGUAAUGGAGCGAAUACCACAAUAUCUUCCGAGGUCUCCAAGAUGAAUAGGAAUAGAAGGGAUAGGCAUAAUCCCCUACCAACAGCGAGCCGUCCUGACAGUUUGAGCGAUCGCCGUAGAGUGGGAAUGAGUGGAGCCACCGUCAAAUGGUAUCUCCGACACCUUCUCGAAGGGAAAUCCGCUAAGGACGCAAGAGAGCUAGCGAUAAACAGGACUAGGGAGUCGUCUGCCUCUGAGCGUCAACAAGAUUUGAAAAGCGCGCUCGUAUCAGAGCAGACAAGUUCUGUAAUCGCAGUCGCAGCCCGGGAUGGGGGCUGUGGAUCGACAAGCCAAGAUAAAACAAGUCAGGCUGAGAAACGAAGAAGCGGAGAGAUAACAUCGCACGAGUUACCUGGUAAAAUGCAGAAGCAGUGUCUCCUUCAACAGUCGACGCAGUCGGUAGGUGUACAAAAAUAUGUUCCAGAACUUACACAGGUGGGAGACGACCAGCUGCAUCAAAAUCCGACCAGGCGAAACUAUGUUUCAAAACCUACCCAGGCGGGAGGAGAACAGCUGCAUCCUCAAUCGACGCAGUUGAAAAGCGCUGAAAAUUCUGUUCCAAAAACUACACAUGUUGGAGAAGAACAACUGCAUCAACAGUCGAUGCACUUGAAGAACAGAGAAAACUCUGUUCCAAAACCAACACAGGCUGGCAUUCGUAUAGCUGUGGUACCUCUCAACUACCCUGCGGAGGCAAUGAGGUGGGAAAAGCUCACCGCUCUUCAAAAUAGGAUCAUACGCGAAGUAGCAAAGGGGUGGAGGCACCCUCUCUCCUUCUACGGAGUCUACUUCAAGGCGGGCCUGUUACUUAUAGACUGUAGAGAUGAGGAAACCGCCACCUGGCUGACGGAGGUUGCUCCUAAGCUUGAGGGGUGGAAGAGCCCAACCCUCUGUACGAAAAGGGGAGAAGAAAUACCGCAGAUACACUAUAUGUCGGUAUAUCUACCAAGGAGCGCCGACAAUGGAGUGGACUUCGCAUUAAAACUACUAAAAGCACAAAACGAGGUCAUCAAAACAUCGGCAUGGCGUAUAAUUAAUAGCGGCAUUGAAGACACGGCUCUGAAACUCAACAUCGGUAUCGAUGAUGAAUCGUACAAAUACAUCCGGAAGCAAAGAUAUCGGCUGAACUACCGAUUCAGCGCGAUCUCCAUGCGAACAUGGAAGUCAAAGGCCGCAGAGGAAAAAGAGGAAGCCAGUGAACCGAUAACGAACUAUACGGACCACCAUGACUCACCUUCAUAUCAGCAUAGGACGUUGUAACUGUAUCUGAGCUCUUGAAGAGUCCCGGAGCGUGAAUGAGGGCACAUUACCGAUCUCAGAAAGUUGAUGAAUUAUUUUAAAUUUGAAUUAUAUUUGAAUUAUGUAAACUUAUUGUAUGAAAUAAAGAGUAUCAAAUUUCAAUAUCUCGAAAUUUCUCUACCCAUACGUAUACGGUCUGUAUAAAUCUCAAAGGUCAGAACGAAUAUUGGCUGAUAUAUAAUAUGGAAAUUGUCAGAAAUAACGGUAAAUUAAUAGAAGUCGCCGGAUCCGAUAAACAUUAUUUUAUUAGUUCAGAAGCUAAACAUUGUAGAAAACACCCUUUGGAACCAUUACAGUAAGUUUGGGUAACCACCUGAGUUAAUGAAAUAAAUCCUUCUGGAUCAAAUCGCUGUUAAAUCGCAAGAAAAUCGAUACAUUUCUGGAGCACAUGGUUACUGGUACUGGAUGAAAAUUGGAAAAAUGGGUCAUUUACGAUAAUCCCAAGCGAAAAUAGACGUGGUCGACGCGGUGAGCUGGUGCAAAUGAUGGCCAAGGUUUGACUUCUCUACGGUCGUAAACAAUUGGACCGUCUGAACGCUAGGCCCGACACAACGAUGUUGACUCGCCAGAAGCUCCGGUAGCCUGGUUGGGACGUUCUUAUACAUUCAACUUAUAGUCUGCACCUGUAACCAGGUAAUUGUUACCUGUUCCUAUCUAUGGCGAAUGAUUUUGUUGGUGAAAAAUUAGCCUCAUGAGAAAUCGACCUUCCUGCUUUUUUCAAUACGGACGAGUUUUUCCAUGAGUGUGGCAUUAUGAUAUUAACAUCAAAAUAGCAGCAAGUUAUCGAACAAACAGGUAAAUAUUUGACCUAAAUCGGACCAUUUUAAUUAUGAUAAAUUAAUCAUUCCAUUUCAUGCAAAAAUAAUGGAUUUUAUCGUAUAUGGCGAAAACUGCCGUGUUCAUUUUGAGAGUGGCGAAUCGAACAAACCUGGGAACUGCACUGGGAUAUAUGGCAUUAAGAAGAGCAUAGACGUUGUCAUGAACCGAAAAUAUAAACAGCCAUUAUAAAACAGUUGGUACAAAGCUUUUCUUUAUAGCUUUGGUAAUAUAAAUUCCAUCUUGUUAGCUUUAGGUCACGAUGUGUUGUAUGUCAGGAGGCUCUGAUGUCUAAGAAGUUGGCAUAUAAUGAACGCAGAUGAAUUAGCAAGGAGUAUAACAAACUUUGUGAGAACUCAGUCACACUUGAACAGAACACUUGAUAAAAGAGAGCUUUCGUUUCUUUUGGCGUAAUGCUCUAACUAAAAGCGAAUAAAUUCAAUUCGCUGCGGAAUUCCAAAACAAUUACAAACUCAGCGAUGCAACGAAUUCACGCAGUCCAAACUGAAGUUAAUCAAGAGCGCAAGAAGCACAAGCACAAAACGAGGCGCGGCGAAAUGAGCAACAGUUGCCCACGACACAAUUUGACUUAGAGAGUUUGUUCAAACACACAGAAACAGCUUAUAGCUAGCGGCUAGCGACCACAACGCCAUCAACAAUCAGUUGCAAUAACGCGUUCAAACGGCUAAGAUCGGUACGGAAAAC